UGGCUCUCGCAUCGAUGAAGAACGCAGCGAAAUGCGAUAAGUAAUGUGAAUUGCAGAAUUCAGUGAAUCAUCGAAUCUUUGAACGCACCUUGCGCUCCUUGGUAUUCCGAGGAGCAUGCCUGUUUGAGUGUCAUGGUAUUCUCAAUCCACUCUGAAUUUUUGAAAAGAAAUUUGUUUGGAAUUGGACUUGGAGGCCUUUUGUUGGUUAUACUUUGUUGAUCGACUCCUCUAAAAUACAUUAGCAGGAACGAAGUGCCAUCUUCAGUGUGAUAAUUAUCUGCGCUGUGGACUGGUUCUUGAAGUUCUCGCUUCUAAUGGUCUAUUUUCUUAGACAUUUUUAUGACAUCGGACCUCAAAUCAGGUAGGAUUACCCGCUGA
Molecule: unclassified non-coding RNA, 378 nt
Filed under: uncultured fungus
Lineage: Eukaryota; Fungi
Description: partial contains 5.8S ribosomal RNA and internal transcribed spacer 2
Rfam family: 5.8S ribosomal RNA (bases 1-133)
Source: RNAcentral